CCUACGGGAGGCAGCAGUGGGGAAUAUUGCGCAAUGGGCGAAAGCCUGACGCAGCGACGCCGCGUGAGGGAUGAAGGUCUUCGGAUCGUAAACCUCUGUUAGCAGGGAAGAACGGUCACUGUGCUAAUCAGCAGUGAAUUGACGGUACCUGCAAAGGAAGCACCGGCUAACUCCGUGCCAGCAGCCGCGGUAAUACGGAGGGUGCGAGCGUUAAUCGGAAUUACUGGGCGUAAAGCGCUCGUAGGCGGUAUGUCAAGUCAAGGGUGAAAUCCCCGCGCUCAACGUGGGAAGUGCCUUUGAAACUGGCAAACUGGAGUGUGUGAGAGGAUAGUGGAAUUCCAGGUGUAGGAGUGAAAUGCGUAGAUAUCUGGAGGAACAUCAGUGGCGAAGGCGACUAUCUGGCACAUAACUGACGCUGAGGAGCGAAAGCGUGGGUAGCAAACAGGAUUAGAUACCCUGGUAGUC
This 465-nucleotide ribosomal RNA is filed under the name uncultured bacterium. RNAcentral describes it as "partial 16S ribosomal RNA". It matches the Rfam family "Bacterial small subunit ribosomal RNA", at positions 338 to 795 of the family's 1533-position model. The record is from RNAcentral.